Long non-coding RNA from Gadus chalcogrammus (walleye pollock), 1280 nucleotides. RefSeq lists it as uncharacterized. The transcript has 3 exons. NCBI's taxonomy places the organism in Eukaryota, Metazoa, Chordata, Actinopteri, Gadiformes, Gadidae. The record is from RefSeq and is a predicted model, not a curated record.
CUUGUUUAUGUUGGGGCCGGAGACCCCUGUUUCUGCCCCUGCUCGCACAGCCGUGGUGACUCAAACCACCCCUCGGUUGCUGCUCCCACCACCUGACUCUGCUGGGUCAGAGUCGUCAAGCGCUCCCUCGACUGCAGUGGCAGAUCCACCCUCCAUUUCCCUGGCCGUUCCAUCCGCCAGUUAUGCGGCUGAAAGUGAAGUACGCCGGUCAGCCAGGUCGACGGCUGGCCAGCACCCAAACCUCUAUCAUCUUCCGCGACCUGUAGGGAACUUGGCAUCUGGGGCUGCAAAUCCCCCUGGUCCAGUGUCAAAUGCCGUUACUGCGCUCUUUAGGCCGUGGAGUUAGUUGGGUGAUCCUCUGGAUCAGUUGUUCCAUCGUCGGGACGACGAUGAAGUCAAUGGGGGUAGAAUGUAGCAGGAUGGGCCUUUAAUUAGUGCUGCAGUACCGGCCUAUCACUGUUGGGUGCGCUGCCUAUAAAGGUGGGUGGUUGUGCACUGGGAGCACUCUUGCCUGGGAGCUCCUGGCUACCCCGCCCCCUGUUGUCACCGAAACCUGAUCGCCUCACCUGAUCGCCUUUUAGUUGGAUCGUGCAGCUCGCCGUUGUUUGGCAGUUUAUUGGCCGGGUCUUCCCUCUCCCGUAUCGACCCCAGUUGUAGGGCGUGCGAGUGUUUCCUCCUCUACCUGUUGCAGCGGGGAGCGAUCAGCUGUAGAUCGAGUUGCACUUGUAAUGGUGUUGCUCGCUACAGGUGGUCCCCUUCCUCCCCUUGAUGUUCAUUCAACUCCUGACGGGUUGACGUGUGUGUGGGCGGUUUCUGCCAGCACGUCCCCCCCCCUCUUCACGCUGCUGUUGGCCGGCUGCCGUUUUGUCCACUGAUUAUAUAGCCAACACAUCGAUCCUACUCUGCAUCUCCUACUGUGCUGUACCUGCCCCGAGUAUGGUGAUUGCUGCCUCACCCUAAGUCUCAUUAUUUUGAUCCAUUCAUUUAACAGACUUCCAACUGAUCUUAUUGAUGAUAUUAUUUGUGUUUUGUGGGUUGCUUUGCAUGUUUGUUUUGGCUUAAUUGCUUUACUUAUCCAUGAUAUUAUUUGUGUUUUGUGGGUUGCUUUGCAUGGUUGUUUUGGUUUAAUUCGUUUUCUUAGUUAUUUUGGUUUGGUUUAAUUGCUUUACUUAUUCAUUUGGAUUUAUCAGUUUGGAUAAAUCUCCUUUACUUUUGAUUUAAAACCCAUUUAGUUAUUUGCUCUUCCCUUUUUGUGUAUUUUGUGUGUGUGUGUGUGUGUG